This is a long non-coding RNA of Numida meleagris (helmeted guineafowl), 381 nucleotides long. RefSeq lists it as uncharacterized. The record is from RefSeq and is a predicted model, not a curated record. NCBI's taxonomy places the organism in Eukaryota, Metazoa, Chordata, Aves, Galliformes, Numididae. The transcript has 3 exons.
AAUAUGAAGAUAAAAGACAAAAUUUGAGAGGAGAGGUAUCCACAUUGGAGCCAGAGAAGACUGUGCAAAGAGGAAGGAGCAGCAGAGAGGAGCUGUUACGGACUGGCCACAUCUCGUAUUUCCUGCUCUCCUGAGCCAUUCAGAGCUGGAGGAGACCAAACUGGUUGACUGAGAAGGCUUUCUAUGUGCUUUUCAAGCUCUUGCAGCCCUGGCCUGAGAUGCUUCCCUAGAACCACAAUAACACGGAGUCUCAGCCAGAUUUGGUCUCAGGAGCUGGAGAAACUACAUGGAGGCCAAAGAAGAAUCAGGUCAGCCUCCCUCACAGAUUAAGUCUCACAAUUCUUUGUUUCACUCUGGAUGAGAUUGUGAUGCUAUAAACUG